RNAcentral lists this ribosomal RNA (684 nucleotides) under uncultured bacterium. Its description in RNAcentral is "bacterial SSU rRNA". It matches the Rfam family "Bacterial small subunit ribosomal RNA", at positions 117 to 801 of the family's 1533-position model. The record is from RNAcentral.
GUGAACAACCUGCCCUCGUGUGGGGGAUAGCCGGGCUAACGCCCGGGUAAUACCGCAUACGUUCUCUUGGAGGAGUCUCCGGGAGAGGAAAGCUCCGGCGCACGGGGAGGGGUUCGCGGCCUAUCAGCUUGUUGGCGGGGUAAUGGCCCACCAAGGCGACGACGGGUAGCUGGUCUGAGAGGAUGGCCAGCCACAUUGGGACUGAGAGACGGCCCAGACUCCUACGGGAGGCAGCAGUGGGGAAUCUUGCGCAAUGGUCGAAAGACUGACGCAGCGACGCCGCGUGUGGGAGGACGCCUUUCGGGGUGUAAACCACUGUUGCCCGGGACGAACUUCUGGUUUCGACCAGACUGACGGUACCGGGUGAGGAAGCACCGGCUAACUCCGUGCCAGCAGCCGCGGUAAUACGGAGGGUGCGAGCGUUGUCCGGAAUCAUUGGGCGUAAAGGGCGCGUAGGUGGCCCGGUCAGUUCGUGGUGAAAGCGCGGGGCUCAACCCUGCGUCGGCCAUGAAUACUGCCGCGGCUGGAGCACUGUAGAGGCAGGCGGAAUUCCGGGUGUAGCGGUGGAAUGCGUAGAGAUCCGGAAGAACACCGGUGGCGAAGGCGGCCUGCUGGGCAGUUGCUGACACUGAGGCGCGACAGCGUGGGGAGCAAACAGGAUUAGAUACCCUGGUAGUCCACGCC